AACGAACGCUGGCGGCAUGCCUAACACAUGCAAGUCGAACGAGACCUUCGGGUCUAGUGGCGCACGGGUGCGUAACGCGUGGGAACCUGCCCUUAGGUUCGGAAUAACUCCCCGAAAGGGGUGCUAAUACCGGAUAAUGUCUUCGGACCAAAGAUUUAUCGCCUUUGGAUGGGCCCGCGUUGGAUUAGCUAGUUGGUAGGGUAAAAGCCUACCAAGGCGACGAUCCAUAGCUGGUCUGAGAGGAUGAUCAGCCACACUGGGACUGAGACACGGCCCAGACUCCUACGGGAGGCAGCAGUGGGGAAUAUUGGAAAAUGGGCGAAAGCCUGAUCCAGCAAUGCCGCGUGAGUGAUGAAGGCCUUAGGGUUGUAAAGCCCUUUUACCCGGGAUGAUAAUGACAGUACCGGGAGAAUAAGCUCCGGCUAACUCCGUG
This 433-nucleotide ribosomal RNA is filed under the name uncultured bacterium. RNAcentral describes it as "partial 16S ribosomal RNA". It matches the Rfam family "Bacterial small subunit ribosomal RNA", at positions 29 to 507 of the family's 1533-position model. The record is from RNAcentral.